RNAcentral lists this ribosomal RNA (497 nucleotides) under uncultured bacterium. RNAcentral's name for it is "partial 16S ribosomal RNA". It matches the Rfam family "Bacterial small subunit ribosomal RNA", at positions 28 to 507 of the family's 1533-position model. The record is from RNAcentral.
GAUGAACGCUGGCGGCGUGCCUAAUACAUGCAAGUCGAGCGAACGGACGAGAAGCUUGCUUCUCUGAUGUUAGCGGCGGACGGGUGAGUAACACGUGGAUAACCUACCUAUAAGACUGGGAUAACUUCGGGAAACCGUAGCUAAUACCGGAUAAUAUUUUGAACCGCAUGGUUCAAAAGUGAAAGACGGUCUUGCUGUCACUUAUAGAUGGAUCCGCGCUGCAUUAGCUAGUUGGUAAGGUAACGGCUUACCAAGGCAACGAUGCAUAGCCGACCUGAGAGGGUGAUCGGCCACACUGGAACUGAGACACGGUCCAGACUCCUACGGGAGGCAGCAGUAGGGAAUCUUCCGCAAUGGGCGAAAGCCUGACGGAGCAACGCCGCGUGAGUGAUGAAGGUCUUCGGAUCGUAAAACUCUGUUAUUAGGGAAGAACAUAUGUGUAUGUAACUGUGCACAUCUUGACGGUACCUAAUCAGAAAGCCACGGCUAACUACGUG